This 759-nucleotide ribosomal RNA is filed under the name uncultured Eikenella sp. Its description in RNAcentral is "bacterial SSU rRNA". It matches the Rfam family "Bacterial small subunit ribosomal RNA", at positions 28 to 776 of the family's 1533-position model. Lineage: Bacteria; Pseudomonadati; Pseudomonadota; Betaproteobacteria; Neisseriales; Neisseriaceae. The record is from RNAcentral.
AUUGAACGCUGGCGGCAUGCUUUACACAUGCAAGUCGAACGGCAGCGGGGUAGUGCUUGCACUACUGCCGGCGAGUGGCGAACGGGUGAGUGAUAUAUCGGAACGUACCGAGUAAUGGGGGAUAACCAAUCGAAAGAUUGGCUAAUACCGCAUACGUCCUGAGGGAGAAAGCGGGGGAUCGCAAGACCUCGCGUUAUUCGAGCGGCCGAUAACUGAUUAGCUAGUUGGUGGGGUAAAGGCCUACCAAGGCGACGAUCAGUAGCGGGUCUGAGAGGACGAUCCGCCACACUGGGACUGAGACACGGCCCAGACUCCUACGGGAGGCAGCAGUGGGGAAUUUUGGACAAUGGGGGCAACCCUGAUCCAGCCAUGCCGCGUGUAUGAAGAAGGCCUUCGGGUUGUAAAGUACUUUUGUUAGGGAAGAAAAGGGAAGUGCUAAUACCACUUUUUGCUGACGGUACCUAAAGAAUAAGCACCGGCUAACUACGUGCCAGCAGCCGCGGUAAUACGUAGGGUGCGAGCGUUAAUCGGAAUUACUGGGCGUAAAGCGAGCGCAGGCGGUUAUUUAAGCAGGAUGUGAAAUCCCCGGGCUCAACCUGGGAACUGCGUUCUGAACUGGAUAGCUAGAGUGUGUCAGAGGGGGGUAGAAUUCCACGUGUAGCAGUGAAAUGCGUAGAGAUGUGGAGGAAUACCGAUGGCGAAGGCAGCCCCCUGGGAUAACACUGACGUUCAUGCUCGAAAGCGUGGGUAGCAAACAGG